This 239-nucleotide unclassified non-coding RNA is filed under the name Hevea brasiliensis (rubber tree). The record is from RNAcentral. Lineage: Eukaryota; Viridiplantae; Streptophyta; Magnoliopsida; Malpighiales; Euphorbiaceae.
UGAAGUCAUAGUAAAUAGUCAAUUAUCUACAUUAUGGAACAACAUGCACUUACAAAACAAGCAGAUAUAUAAAACAACAGACCCCAUCCGAGGAGGGUACUAAACUCCAGAUUAGGAGACCUUACAAGCACUGUAACAAAAACACAAACUAAAGAAAACUAAAAACAAGAACACAAACUAAGGAAAACGAAAAACACAAAUAAAGAAAGAGGUAGACGAGGAGGCUCGAUGGCCAAAAC